This 460-nucleotide ribosomal RNA is filed under the name uncultured bacterium. Its description in RNAcentral is "partial 16S ribosomal RNA". It matches the Rfam family "Bacterial small subunit ribosomal RNA", at positions 338 to 795 of the family's 1533-position model. The record is from RNAcentral.
CCUACGGGAGGCUGCAGUGAGGAAUAUUGGUCAAUGGGCGGAAGCCUGAACCAGCCAAGUAGCGUGCAGGAUGACGGCCCUACGGGUUGUAAACUGCUUUUAUACGGGAAUAACGCGCCUUACGUGUAGGGCUUUGCAUGUACCGUAUGAAUAAGGACCGGCUAAUUCCGUGCCAGCAGCCGCGGUAAUACGGAAGGUCCGGGCGUUAUCCGGAUUUAUUGGGGUUAAAGGGAGCGUAGGCCGCAUGUCAAGCGUGCUGUGAAAUGUCCGGGCUCAACCCGGGCCUUGCAGCGCGAACUGGCGUGCUUGAGUCCGCGGAAAGCAGGCGGAAUUCGUCGUGUAGCGGUGAAAUGCUUAGAUAUGACGAAGAACCCCGAUUGCGAAGGCAGCAUGCUGCAGCGGAACUGACGCUGAUGCUCGAAAGCGCGGGUAUCGAACAGGAUUAGAUACCCCAGUAGUC